AGUGAACGCUGGCGGUAGGCCUAACACAUGCAAGUCGAACGGCAGCACAGUAAGAGCUUGCUCUUACGGGUGGCGAGUGGCGGACGGGUGAGGAAUACAUCGGAAUCUACUUUUUCGUGGGGGAUAACGUAGGGAAACUUACGCUAAUACCGCAUACGACCUACGGGUGAAAGCAGGAGAUCUUCGGACCUUGCGCGAUUGAAUGAGCCGAUGUCGGAUUAGCUAGUUGGCGGGGUAAAGGCCCACCAAGGCGACGAUCCGUAGCUGGUCUGAGAGGAUGAUCAGCCACACUGGAACUGAGACACGGUCUAGACUCCUACGGGAGGCAGCAGUGGGGAAUAUUGGACAAUGGGCGCAAGCCUGAUCCAGCCAUACCGCGUGGGUGAAGAAGGCCUUCGGGUUGUAAAGCCCUUUUGUUGGGAAAGAAAAGCAGCAGGUUAAUACCCCGCUGUUCUGACGGUACCCAAAGAAUAAGCACCGGCUAACUUCGUG
Molecule: ribosomal RNA, 492 nt
Filed under: uncultured bacterium
Lineage: Bacteria
Description: partial 16S ribosomal RNA
Rfam family: Bacterial small subunit ribosomal RNA
Source: RNAcentral